Molecule: ribosomal RNA, 403 nt
Filed under: Verrucomicrobiota bacterium
Lineage: Bacteria; Pseudomonadati; Verrucomicrobiota
Description: Verrucomicrobia bacterium partial 16S ribosomal RNA
Rfam family: Bacterial small subunit ribosomal RNA
Source: RNAcentral
UGGGGAAUAUUGCACAAUGGAGGGAACUCUGAUGCAGCGACGCCGCGUGAACGAAGAAGGCUUUCGAGUCGUAAAGUUCUUUUAAAUGGGAAGAUAAUGACGGUACCAUAAGAAAAAGCCCCGGCUAACUACGUGCCAGCAGCCGCGGUAAUACGUAGGGGGCUAGCGUUGUCCGGAAUCACUGGGCGUAAAGGGUUCGCAGGCGGAAAUGCAAGUCAGGUGUAAAAGGCAGUAGCUUAACUACUGUAAGCAUUUGAAACUGCAUAUCUUGAGAAGAGUAGAGGUAAGUGUAAUUUUUAGUGUAGCGGUGAAAUGCGUAGAUAUUAAAAAGAAAACCGGUGGCGAAGGCGACUUACUGGGCUCAUUCUGACGCUGAGGAACGAAAGCGUGGGUAGCAAACAGG